This 63-nucleotide transfer RNA is filed under the name Platynereis sp. 2 PA-2020. RNAcentral describes it as "tRNA-Glu". Lineage: Eukaryota; Metazoa; Annelida; Polychaeta; Phyllodocida; Nereididae. The record is from RNAcentral.
GUGCUUAUAGUAUAAAAAAUACACUUGCUUUUCACGCAAGAAAUACACGAUAUGUUGAUCACA